CGCGAAACCAGGUGAGCUACUGUUUAACGUAUAAUAGUACAGAACAUGUGAUAUAAUAAUAAUAGAUAAAACAGUAGGAGUGAAAGGCUUCCCAAAUCUGGUGAUUUCUCGUUAACUUUUAAACGUAUUUAGUACAUUGCCGAUUUAUUAGUGAUAAGGCUGAUAAAAAAUACUUAAUUUGCUGUUUCUUAUCUACCAAGCUUAAUCGCUAGUGGCUAGAGUUUUAAAACAUUAAUGUUUAAAAACUAGUAGACUACAAAAGUUAGUAAUUAACUAUGUGCAUUAUUUAUACUGUAUAUAUUAGUAAUAAAGUUAUCAUUGAUGAACUCGGCAAUAUUUCUUUCAGCUGUUUACCAAAAACAUCGCCAAUAGGAUAUAUUGUUGGUUAAUUCUGCUCAAUGUACAUAAAUAGCCGCAGUACCCUGACUGUGCAAAGGUAGCAUAAUCAUUUGGCUUAUAAUUGAAGUCUCGCAUGAAUGAACUUAUGGGGGAAAGCUCUAUUAAUGAUAUGUUAUGAACUUACUUAGGGGGUGUAAAUUCCCCCUUCUUAAAUAAUAGACGAGAAGACCCUAGAAAUUUGCAAAAUAUGAACCGGUUAUUUUUUGUUGGGGCAACAUUGUAGCAUUUAACCUACAGUAAUGACACGCCAUGUUAUUUGUAAGAUUAAAUUACUCUAGGGAUAACAGCGUAAUUAAUAAAAGUUUGCGACCUCGAUGUUGGACUAGGACGCGGUCGCUUAGAA
Molecule: ribosomal RNA, 742 nt
Filed under: Amplirhagada imperialis
Lineage: Eukaryota; Metazoa; Mollusca; Gastropoda; Stylommatophora; Camaenidae
Description: partial 16S ribosomal RNA
Rfam family: Archaeal large subunit ribosomal RNA (bases 344-487)
Source: RNAcentral